UGGACCUCAGAUCAGGCGAGAUCACCUGCUGAAUUUAAGCAUAUCAGUAAGCG
This 53-nucleotide ribosomal RNA is filed under the name Prosuberites laughlini. RNAcentral's name for it is "partial 28S ribosomal RNA". The record is from RNAcentral. Lineage: Eukaryota; Metazoa; Porifera; Demospongiae; Agelasida; Hymerhabdiidae.